Sebastes umbrosus (honeycomb rockfish) is the source of this 1022-nucleotide long non-coding RNA. RefSeq lists it as uncharacterized. The record is from RefSeq and is a predicted model, not a curated record. NCBI's taxonomy places the organism in Eukaryota, Metazoa, Chordata, Actinopteri, Perciformes, Sebastidae. The transcript has 3 exons.
UAAAGUGGUAUCGGUGCCAUUGUAUCAGAGCCGUUUUGCGAGCACGAGUACAUGAGCACAGUAUCGGACCCGAUACCCAGUACUGGUAUCGGUGCAUCCCUAGAUUAAAGUGAUUAUGAAAGCAUUUACAGACAAAUGUUCCCUGAUUAUUCUUGCUCCAUGACCUUCCCCAAUACAAAUGAAUUAUUAAACCUUUCAUGACUCUUUUCCCCAGCCACGGUGACCCACAGCCAACCUUCAGCCACCUUGCUCCAGGGCUCCGGUGAACUUGUGUGCCUGGUCUUUGGCUUCAGCCCUGCAGCCAUUAACAUCACUUGGUUUCUCGAUGACACCAAAGAACUGUCGGACUACGACACUAGUGAACCCCACAGAGGCCCGAACGGAACGUUCAGCAUUCAAAGCCGCCUUCAUCUGUCCCGAGUCAUCUGGUUACCUGGAGCCAACCUCACCUGCAGGGUGACACAUGCAAACACCACGAUAUCCCUGGACAUAUCCAAACCAGACACCUUGGAGGACUGUAAUUUCUUAGAUUACAUCAUGCAUAAUGACGUGAACCAAGACACAGGUGUGGAAAGCUCGUAUAUGACUUUCACUUUCCUCGUUCUUUUCCUCAUCUCCAUCAUCUACGGUGUCUUGGCGACCAUGAUGAAGACCAAAUGAUGAUGAUCCCAGGACCUAUCCCAUUUUAUCAUCCAAAUGUGGACUUUUGAGGGUUUUUGAUGUCAUGUGGCCUCACUAGUUUUAAAGUGUAAUUCAUUAAUUUGUGUUUCUUUUUUUAAUAUAUAUAUAUAUAUAUUUCUAUUAUUAUAUGUUACGGAACUGGUUUAUUCAUUUCUUUUUAAUUUUUCAGUUAUAUAUAUUUGGUGUGGCAUGUAGGCUAUGUAGUAGUUCUUGUGUGUAAGAGGAAACGAGACAACAAUAAAUAAAUAAAAGCUUUAAAGCAUGACUUUUGAGAUUCAAAUACCAAUGUAAUGAACAUAUAUUGCAGUUAGAAAAAUAAAGAUUCAAUUAUGGAAAACACA